RNAcentral lists this small RNA (124 nucleotides) under Marmota monax (woodchuck). Lineage: Eukaryota; Metazoa; Chordata; Mammalia; Rodentia; Sciuridae. The record is from RNAcentral.
GGGCAUGGUGGCGCAUGCCUGUAAUCCCAGGAACUCGGGAAUCUGAGGCAGGUGGAUUGAGAGUUCAAAGCCAGCCUCAGCAACUUAGUGAGGUCCUAUGCGACUUAGCAAGACCCUGUCUCUA